GACGAACGCUGGCGGCGUGCUUAACACAUGCAAGUCGAACGGAAGGGCCCUGCUUUUGUGGGGUGCUCGAGGGGCGAACGGGUGAGUAACACGUGAGUAACCUGCCCUUGACUUUGGGAUAACUUCAGGAAACUGGGGCUAAUACCGGAUAGGAGCUCCUGCUGCAUGGUGGGGGUUGGAAAGUUUCGGCGGUUGGGGAUGGACUCGCGGCUUAUCAGCUUGUUGGUGGGGUAGUGGCUUACCAAGGCUUGGACGGGUAGCCGGCCUGAGAGGGUGACCGGCCACAUUGGGACUGAGAUACGGCCCAGACUCCUACGGGAGGCAGCAGUGGGGAAUAUUGCACAAUGGGCGGAAGCCUGAUGCAGCAACGCCGCGUGCGGGAUGACGGCCUUCGGGUUGUAAACCGCUUUCGCCUGUGACGAAGCGUGAGUGACGGUAAUGGGUAAAGAAGCACCGGCUAACUACGUG
This 468-nucleotide ribosomal RNA is filed under the name uncultured bacterium. Its description in RNAcentral is "partial 16S ribosomal RNA". It matches the Rfam family "Bacterial small subunit ribosomal RNA", at positions 28 to 507 of the family's 1533-position model. The record is from RNAcentral.